Molecule: ribosomal RNA, 902 nt
Filed under: uncultured archaeon
Lineage: Archaea
Description: bacterial SSU rRNA
Rfam family: Archaeal small subunit ribosomal RNA
Source: RNAcentral
GCCGGACCUGACUGCUAUCGGAUUGAUACUAAGCCAUGCGAGUCGUUGUAACAAUACAAGGCAUACGGCUCAGUAACGCGUAGUCAACCUAACCUAUGGACGGGAAUAACCUCGGGAAACUGAGAAUAAUGCCCGAUAGAACAUUAUGCCUGGAAUGGUUUAUGUUCCAAAUGAUUUAUCGCCAUAGGAUGGGACUGCGGCCUAUCAGUUUGUUGGUGAGGUAAUGGCCCACCAAGACUAUUACAGGUACGGGCUCUGAGAGGAGUAGCCCGGAGAUGGGUACUGAGACACGGACCCAGGCCCUAUGGGGCGCAGCAGGCGAGAAAACUUUGCAAUGUGCGAAAGCACGACAAGGUUAAUCCGAGUGAUUUCUGCUAAAGAGAUCUUUUGUUAGUCCUAGAAACACUAACGAAUAAGGGGUGGGCAAGUUCUGGUGUCAGCCGCCGCGGUAAAACCAGCACCUCAAGUGGUCAGGAUGAUUAUUGGGCCUAAAGCAUCCGUAGCCGGCUCUGUAAGUUUUCGGUUAAAUCUGUACGCUCAACGUACAGGCUGCCGGAAAUACUGCAGAACUAGGGAGUGGGAGAGGUAGACGGUACUCGGUAGGAAGUGGUAAAAUGCUUUGAUCUAUCGAUGACCACCUGUGGCGAAGGCGGUCUACCAGAACACGUCCGACGGUGAGGGAUGAAAGCUGGGGGAGCAAACCGGAUUAGAUACCCGGGUAGUCCCAGCUGUAAACUAUGCAAACUCAGUGAUGCAUUGGCUUGUGGCCAAUGCAGUGCUGCAGGGAAGCCGUUAAGUUUGCCGCCUGGGAAGUACGUACGCAAGUAUGAAACUUAAAGGAAUUGGCGGGGGAGCACCACAAGGGGUGAAGCCUGCGGUUCAAUUGGAGUCAACGCCGGGGA